This 253-nucleotide unclassified non-coding RNA is filed under the name uncultured Sphingomonadaceae bacterium. RNAcentral's name for it is "contains 16S-23S intergenic spacer region". It matches the Rfam family "Bacterial small subunit ribosomal RNA", at positions 524 to 776 of the family's 1533-position model. The record is from RNAcentral. Lineage: Bacteria; Pseudomonadati; Pseudomonadota; Alphaproteobacteria; Sphingomonadales; Sphingomonadaceae.
UACGGAGGGAGCUAGCGUUGUUCGGAGUUACUGGGCGUAAAGCGCGCGUAGGCGGCUGCUCAAGUCAGAGGUGCAAGCCCGGGGCUCAACCCCGGAACUGCCUUUGAAACUAGGUAGCUAGAAUCUUGGAGAGGUCAGUGGAAUUCCGAGUGUAGAGGUGAAAUUCGUAGAUAUUCGGAAGAACACCAGUGGCGAAGGCGACUGACUGGACAAGUAUUGACGCUGAGGUGCGAAAGCGUGGGUAGCAAACAGG